GAUGGGUGUGUUGUAGAGGUUAUACGUUUGACAACAAAACAAAAACCUGCACUGAAUGCAUGUAUCCUAAUUACGGACAGAACUGCAGUCGCCAAUGUAAAUGUAGCAAGUUGAAAUGCAGUCGAUUUUAUGGAUGUGGGAUAUCUACGACAAUGAGAGCAACUCAUCUUCAGAGCAGGAAGAAAACACAAUUGUCAACGUUAACAGAGUUUUCUACUGAGUCCCCAUCACAAGCUGUUUCAAAUAUUUCAGUCAUCAGUACAUAUAAGAUAUCAACUGAAGCAAUUAAGCAGGACUUUGAAGCAAAGUCAUUUUUCUUUGACAAACCCUUAUUAAUAUGUGUCAGCAUCUUCUCAAUGUUUGUACUCAUUCUUUUAGUGCUGUAUAUAUCGAUUCAAGUGUCUGAUAGAUUGAAAUAUAUAAGAGCCGUGAAUAGAAAUGAUAUGUAUGAAGGUGACCCUCGAAAUCACUACGAGGAAAUAGAACUCGUUACAAUAACUGAGAUACAAUAACCUUCUCUUCUAAGACUCUUAAGUGCAUACA
This is a long non-coding RNA of Saccostrea cuccullata (small rock oyster), 543 nucleotides long. RefSeq lists it as uncharacterized. The transcript is spliced from 3 exons. The record is from RefSeq and is a predicted model, not a curated record. NCBI's taxonomy places the organism in Eukaryota, Metazoa, Mollusca, Bivalvia, Ostreida, Ostreidae.